This 253-nucleotide ribosomal RNA is filed under the name uncultured bacterium. RNAcentral describes it as "partial 16S ribosomal RNA". It matches the Rfam family "Bacterial small subunit ribosomal RNA", at positions 524 to 776 of the family's 1533-position model. The record is from RNAcentral.
GACAGAGGGUGCAAUCGUUGCUCGGAAUCACUGGGCGUAAAGGGCGUGUAGGCGGGCGAGAAAGUCGGGCGUGAAAUCCCUAGGCUCAACCUAGGAACUGCACUCGAAACUUCUUUUCUUGAGUGCCGGAGAGGAAAGCGGAAUACCUGGUGUAGAGGUGAAAUUCGUAGAUAUCAGGUGGAACACCAGUGGCGAAGGCGGCUUUCUGGACGGUAACUGACGCUGAGACGCGAAAGCGUGGGGAGCAAACAGG